UGGGGAAUAUUGCACAAUGGGCGCAAGCCUGAUGCAGCCAUGCCGCGUGUGUGAAGAAGGCCUUCGGGUUGUAAAGCACUUUCGGCGAGGAGGAAGGUGGUGAACUUAAUACGUUCAUCAAUUGACGUUACUCGCAGAAGAAGCACCGGCUAACUCCGUGCCAGCAGCCGCGGUAAUACGGAGGGUGCAAGCGUUAAUCGGAAUUACUGGGCGUAAAGCGCACGCAGGCGGUUUGUUAAGUCAGAUGUGAAAUCCCCGGGCUCAACCUGGGAACUGCAUUUGAAACUGGCAAGCUAGAGUCUCGUAGAGGGGGGUAGAAUUCCAGGUGUAGCGGUGAAAUGCGUAGAGAUCUGGAGGAAUACCGGUGGCGAAGGCGGCCCCCCUGGACGAAGACUGACGCUCAGGUGCGAAAGCGUGGGGCAGCAAACAGGAUUAGAUACCCUGGUAGGUCCACGCUGUAAACGAUGUCGAUUUGGAGGUUGUGCCCCUUGAGGCGUGGNUUCCGGAGCUAACG
RNAcentral lists this ribosomal RNA (514 nucleotides) under uncultured bacterium. RNAcentral describes it as "partial 16S ribosomal RNA". It matches the Rfam family "Bacterial small subunit ribosomal RNA", at positions 355 to 857 of the family's 1533-position model. The record is from RNAcentral.